CCCUUGCACUCCAGCCUUGGUGACAAGAGUGAAACUCUGUCUCAAAACAAACAAACAAACAAACAAACAAAUGGAGUGCAUUUGACUCUUAUGGGAUGUUUUAAUGGAGCACAGCUGUUUGAUUAUCUGCAUUAAACCAGACUUUGUUCUUCUAUUGUUCCUUCCAACUUUGUUUUAAUAGUUCAGGAUGGAUGCGGCAAAAUUAGUGUCUGUUUGUAUAUUACGUUUAUAAACAAAAACUUGUGUAGAAAAGUCCAUGGGGGUUAACAACACUCAGAACAACGUGUGGAACUCCAGACUGGAGCACACUCAUCCCAUAAUCUGCUGAGGAAUCAUUGUCUACUUAACUGCUCCUGUUUAUUAAACCUAUUAAUUGCAUUUGAUACUCUGUCUGCGUCAGUGGUCAUUACUCAUUAACUUCUCUACUCAAACCAGUGUGCCAACUUAAGGUUUUACUGUGACAGUGAAGGACUCCACUGUACCCACGCCAGAGAUCAUGAGGAUAGGCCCUGUUGAGUUGAAUAUUGAAUAGUACCCACAGCCAUUCCUUCAACAGACUAAGUGGUAUGGAGAAAAACAAGAAAAAAGGAAGCAAGGUUUGGAAAAACAGAGUAGUCAAAUAUUAGAAGUACUCUGAUAACUCCUUCAAGAUUAUUUUGGUCCUCUCACCUCUUCCUACGUGCUAUGACUCAAGGGCAUAAAAUUGUUGAUACCAUUUCUGAGGGAAUGAUAAAGACGGAGGGGUCCUCUUUUACCUUCUCCCAUUAUUACAAUAUCCUGACUUUUAAUCAAACUAGUUUCAUUAUGGGAAGAACUGGAGGCUCUCCGUUGGUGAAUAAAAUACAAGGCAAUUCAUUUUAAGACUUUGUGAGAUGAAGGCAUGUUAGUGGGAGCCCUGGAUGGGAAAGGAAGUAGACUGUCCACACUGGCCAGCGGCAAUGAGGAAACAGCAUAAACACAAGAGGGGUGGAGGCUGGAAUUACAAAGGGAGGGUGUGGAGGACAACUUCUGAAAAUGGAGAGAGUAAUAAGCCAAGCAGAGGGAACAAUGAUAAACUUAAGCUAUUUAACCAUUUUACAUAGUGUUGCUUUGUACAUGUGGAGGAAAAUCAGAGGGAGAAGCAGUUUGUAAUGCAGUAUUAUUCAUUAAAUUGUACCAGUGCCAGGAAAGUAAUUUAAAACCAAAGCAAUGUUACCACUGAAUUUUUAUCAAGUCAUUGUUUUAUCUGCAUAAACAGAGAAAUGCCCACACAUGAUUGCAAAUGUUGUAUCUAACAUAAGUAAGAAGAUGAUUAACACCCAGGGGUGGGGGGCCGGUGGCAGUGAGCUAAAGCAAGCUCCUAGCCAACAAAGCAAAGUGGACAUCAAAUUGCAAGCCUUAAACUGCUCUGCUCAAUGGCAUGUUUUGACUUGUGACACCGGUAAGCUCCCCAAAUAUUUUUAGGACUUUACUGGAAGUGUCAAAUGGAGCAAAAGCUUAAGAUUUCACUGAAGGUUUAGUAAUGCAGCCAUGAGAUUAGAGCUGUGCCCAUGAAGCCUGAAGAGACGAGCAAAUUGCGAGGGUUUAUUCAAGUCAAACGAUUUCAGUUGCUGUUACUUUUCUGUUAGGCUGAGGUAAAUACAGGUAGAUUAACAAAUAAACUCAUAGAUAUUAGAGACAGACAGAUAAUCUAGUGGUUAAAAUUCUAAGAAGACUUGUACCAGGCUAUUUGCAUGUGAAUUCCAGCUCUGAGGCUUACUUGAUGUGUAAGCUUAGGCAAGAUAUUUCACACUUCUCCUGCCUUAGUUUCUUCAUUUUCAAAAUGGAAAUUAUCGAAUUAUACCUCACAGGGUUGUUGUGAGGAUUAAAUGAGAUAAUGUAUAGUGUUUAAAAUGGUAUCAGUUAAACAGUGCUCAAUAAAUGAUAUUAUAUAUUUGAAUAUUUUAAUCAGAUAAAAGGCAGUAAUACUACAUUGCAUUUCUUUACUCACACUCUUUUGGGCAAGUAAGCACCCUCAUAUGGUACAGAAUUUCUCCCAGAUCGUCCUAAAUUGAUCCAACCCUGAGGCUUUCAGCCUUCCAAAGAAUGAAAUCAGUGCCUCUGGUGACAUAAAGGCCAGGGGCUCCCUGUAUAAUAUUCAUGGUACUCCAAGCUUCGCUGGCCCUUUUAGCUUUAUAGAAACAAUAUACAGAAUUAUCAACCUUCAUCACAGCCCCAGGUUUUUAAAUAAACUUUUAAGAAAAUACUAUAUCUCUUUUUAAUUCUCCAGUCACUUGUUUUUUUCUUAUGAUUUUAUUUCAAAAUAGUAUAGAUGUAGCUUUGCCAAUGUAUUUUAGGGUUUCAGUCUCCCACAGUUUAACAUUUGGCCCUCUCUGGAACACAUAUCCCUUUCAAACAUUGCCCAUGCUCUUUUAAAGUAUCAUUAGAAUUAAAUGUUCUAAGUUAUACGUAGUUGUACUGUUAGGAAAAAGAAUCUGAUUACCCCCCAAAAUGUAUAGAAAUAGGUUCAUAAUAGCUUUAGGGACAUGAUUUUGACUUUAAACAACCCAGAAAAUGAGAUGCUAGUUUAUUUUUGAGAACUUCUAAAGGAGAUUUCUAAAUCUCCUCUGGCGGCAGCUUUGCAGUGAUAUAAAAUAAUCAUUCCCAGUGGGAUGAGAAAAAUGCUGAGAAUCAGACAGUGGUUCAAUCACAGGUACCUCCAAACCCAACUUCCCAAAUCACUGCAGCUGGGAUGCCAAGGUUGGGGUGGGGCGUGGGGCUCACAUUUCUAUUCUGAAAUCACCACAUUGACUCAAACCAAACAGAUAAUUUUUAAAAGUCUGACUUUUUUUGGACAUGGAUGACUUAGAUUUGCUGUCCGUAUCGACCAGACUUUUUAAACUUCACAACUUCACUUGAACUAUUCAAGAAUCAUUGAUGAUUUUUUUCUUAGAGUUUUCAAAAGUAAAGUCACUUGACUCAGUUGCUCCAAAAAGUCCAGUCAGAGGUUUAAAGCUAGUAUUGAGGGAUAAGAUAUCAGCUGAUACUAAAUCAUACUGCUCUGAAAAUAAUAUAGUUUAGAAUUGCAUGCUGUGGAAAAGACGAUUAGCCGCCCUCUGAAAUCCAUUCUUCUCUUAGGCACACAGCUAGACUGCAUUUCCCAGACUAAGACUGCAUUUAGUUAGGUGAAACAUGAGCUCAAGUUCUAUAUUGAAAUGUGAGCAGAAGGUCUGCCGUUACUGGGCUGGGAUUUUUAAAAGAGUAGCCAUGCCCGCUCCAUGUUCUUUUUCUCUUUCUGCUCGACAAAAAGGAAUCCAGCAGUUCUAGGGUAAGAGCUCCCUGCUGAAGACGGCAGAACUUCUGCCAGUCACGUUUUCAAAUGUCUGCAUAGAGAAGAGGUACCCGCAACAAGGAUCUUGCCUUGGACUGAUGUACGGCGUGUAUUGCGCAUGUACUUUGGGUGGCGCUGUGCUGCAUCAGCUGGAAGGGAUCCAGAGAAAAAGACACAGUCCUCUUUGAAGACACCCAGAGACAGUUCCUCUUUACUGUGCCCUGGGACCAAGGCAAGCAGGCACAAAGGAACGGCUUCUGAAACAAGUAGACAAGCAUAGGCACAUACCAGCGUAUGCUUUCAGUAAUAAGGAAGAAGAAAAUGAAUAUAACGGCUCAGAAACUUCCAAUAUCCCACCAAAUCUGUACUCUGGAGACUCCCAAGCAGACUGUAUAAGCUAAUUGCCUCAAAGCAUCAAAAUCCAAAUCUAAAAUCAUAUCCUGUCCUUUCUUCUGGCACCUAUCAAGAUAAUUCUGAGGGAUUUAUAAACUCAUAUUUGGAGCAAAUGUUGCUUCCUGGACACGUUAGAUUCCAAACAACUGAUAAGCGUAUGGAGAGCAAAUGAAACAACAGGGUGUGAUCAAGGAAAGAAGAGUGGUGUUCACAACACGAACCAUGUGAUGCACCUAUGCCCCUUUUGCCUUCUUCUAUGAUUGUGAGAUUCCUGAGGUUUCACCAGAAGCCUGACAGGUACAGGUGACAUACAGAACAGUAAGAUGAAUAAAUCUGUUUUCUUUAAACAUUACCCAG
Molecule: long non-coding RNA, 4039 nt
Organism: Cercocebus atys (sooty mangabey)
Lineage: Eukaryota; Metazoa; Chordata; Mammalia; Primates; Cercopithecidae
Exons: 5
Source: RefSeq, a predicted model, not a curated record